This 261-nucleotide long non-coding RNA is filed under the name Fukomys damarensis (Damara mole-rat). RNAcentral's name for it is "lncRNA (ENSFDAG00000025309.1)". The record is from RNAcentral. Lineage: Eukaryota; Metazoa; Chordata; Mammalia; Rodentia; Bathyergidae.
CAGUGUUCUGUGAGAUACUGACACCUUUUAUUCAAAACUGAAAGUAAAGAAAUGGACAUUUAAGGAAAAUGAGAUAGCUUGUUUAUUUGUCAUAGCUAUAACAUGAGAACAUUGGCACUGAAAUUUGAAUCACAUUUGUUGGUCUUAAUCAUUGAUCUCCAAGAACAGGAGGAAGAACACAGCGACAUCAGUCCAGAUUGGAUCAUCCAAGGUGCCUCUGAGAACUCACUGGCAGCAAUUCCAGAGAGGGAAGAAUUGUAA